GUGCCGCGCCCCUCAGCGUCUCCACCACGGGACGCGGCUCCUCUGGUGUCGGUCUUACGG
Molecule: non-coding RNA, 60 nt
Filed under: uncultured Pelagophyceae
Lineage: Eukaryota; Pelagophyceae
Source: RNAcentral